AUUGAACGCUGGCGGCAUGCCUUACACAUGCAAGUCGAACGGUAACAGGUCUUCGGAUGCUGACGAGUGGCGAACGGGUGAGUAAUACAUCGGAACGUGCCUAGUAGGGGGGGAUAACAGCUCGAAAGAGUGGCUAAUACCGCAUGAGAUCUACGGAUGAAAGCAGGGGAUCGCAAGACCUUGUGCUACUCGAGCGGCCGAUGGCAGAUUAGUUAGUUGGUGGGAUAAAAUCUUACCAAGCCGAAGAUCUGUAGCUGGUCUGAGAGGACGAUCAGCCACACUGUGACUGAGACACGGCCCAGACUCCUACGGGAGGCAGCAGUGGGGAAUUUUGGACAAUGGGCGCAAGCCUGAUCCAGCAAGGCCGCGUGCAGGAUGAAGGCCUUCGGGUUGUAAACUGCUUUUGUACGGAACGAAAAGCCCUGGGUUAAUACCCUGGGGUCAUGACGGUACCGUAAGAAUAAGCACCGGCUAACUACGUGCCAGCCGCCGCCGUAA
This 498-nucleotide ribosomal RNA is filed under the name uncultured bacterium. Its description in RNAcentral is "partial 16S ribosomal RNA". It matches the Rfam family "Bacterial small subunit ribosomal RNA", at positions 30 to 523 of the family's 1533-position model. The record is from RNAcentral.